UACCGUGAAACAACAUUGCUAUUUGAUGAGAUGCACUCUGCAGCUGCCAAUAAGCAACGAGUUGCAGUUGUUGUAGCUCAUGAAUUAGCUCAUCAAUGGUUUGGAAAUUUUGUCACAAUGGAAUGGUGGACACAUCUGUGGCUUAAUGAGGGCUUUGCGACUUGGGUGUCUUACUUAGCUGUAGAUCAGUUCUUUCCUGAAUGGAAUGUUUGGACUCAAUUUCUAGAGGAAUCUGC
Molecule: long non-coding RNA, 236 nt
Organism: Zea mays
Lineage: Eukaryota; Viridiplantae; Streptophyta; Magnoliopsida; Poales; Poaceae
Exons: 3
Source: RefSeq, a predicted model, not a curated record